UAAAUGUCUAGAUAUCAGCUCCAAAUCUGCUCUGCUGGGGAACAUUUACCUCAGAUUCUUUGGUCAAUUUGUCCAUUUGUUAAUUUUGUGUCAUUUUUUGGUAAUUUAUACAUCUACAGUCAUGGAAACAUUCUUGAUAAGAACCAAAAUUAUUCAAUUCAAUUAUUCAAUAAAACCAUGGAAAAUGUCUAGAUAUUAACUCUUAAAUUAAACUCUUAUCAGCCAUUUUGUUAUCAUUAUGUGUCCAAACACAUGUAUCUUUAGUUGUACCAGGCAUUAAAAUGAACAAGAAAUUGAAGAAAAAGGUGAUCUGACAUUUUUUUCCAUGACUGUACGUGAAUGGGUUCUGUUUCAAACAUUUAGUUAAGUACUAAUAAUUUACAGGACACAUAGAUUUUGUUUCAUAUACACAUUAUCUAUUUGACCGUGACAGGGUCUCUUUUUGUAGCGUGCACAAUAAGCAACUUUUGUACAGUCUGUUCCUAAACUUUUCUUUCUUUUGAGCUCCCCAGUGUCUGAGAUUCCACCCACCAGACUGGUUCCUGGCUGUCUGCUGGGCAAAGGUUGACACCUGGAGCAGCAGAAGUUUUAUAUUGGACUCUACCACUCUUCACCAUGUCCGGGGGAGCUUCUUUCAUUGUUUAGGGUUUCCGUAGCUGAUGGCAUUUAACAUUUAUUUUGCUUAGACUUGUUAGGGCUGUUAUGUUACUUGAUUUCAAUAAAUGAGAUUAACAUACA
This is a long non-coding RNA of Centropristis striata (black sea bass), 738 nucleotides long. RefSeq lists it as uncharacterized. NCBI's taxonomy places the organism in Eukaryota, Metazoa, Chordata, Actinopteri, Perciformes, Serranidae. The transcript is spliced from 2 exons. The record is from RefSeq and is a predicted model, not a curated record.